UGGGGAAUAUUGCACAAUGUGCGCAAGCCUGAUGCAGCCAUGCCGCGUGUAUGAAGAAGGCCUUCGGGUUGUAAAGUACUUUCAGCGGGGAGGAAGGGAGUAAAGUUAAUACCUUUGCUCAUUGACGUUACCCGCAGAAGAAGCACCGGCUAACUCCGUGCCAGCAGCCGCGGUAAUACGGAGGGUGCAAGCGUUAAUCGGAAUUACUGGGCGUAAAGCGCACGCAGGCGGUCUGUCAAGUCGGAUGUGAAAUCCCCGGGCUCAACCUAGGAACUGCAUUCGAAACUGGCAGGCUAGAGUCGUGUAGAGGGGGGUAGAAUUCCAGGUGUAGCGGUGAAAUGCGUAAAGAUCUGGAGGAAUACCGGUGGCGAAGGCGGCCCCCUGGACAAAGACUGACGAUCAGGUGCGAAAGCGGGGGGAGCAAACAGG
This 429-nucleotide ribosomal RNA is filed under the name Chloroflexota bacterium. RNAcentral describes it as "Chloroflexi bacterium partial 16S ribosomal RNA". It matches the Rfam family "Bacterial small subunit ribosomal RNA", at positions 355 to 776 of the family's 1533-position model. Lineage: Bacteria; Bacillati; Chloroflexota. The record is from RNAcentral.